Polyodon spathula (Mississippi paddlefish) is the source of this 701-nucleotide long non-coding RNA. RefSeq lists it as uncharacterized. The record is from RefSeq and is a predicted model, not a curated record. NCBI's taxonomy places the organism in Eukaryota, Metazoa, Chordata, Actinopteri, Acipenseriformes, Polyodontidae. The transcript is spliced from 9 exons.
UCUCUUUUGCAGGACAGCAGUAGCGGGAAAGACAAAAUGGGCCUGGUUGUGCAUCAAAGGCAGCGAGGAAGAGUGCGCCUAAUGCGGUGGCAUUCAAAGCCUCUGCCCAGGCUUGCACAGACUUCAUUGUGUUGCAGUUCCCUGAUCUGAGCAUCCCGGCUUUUCAACGAGAACUACACGCAGGACUGUCCUGGACAAUGGCUUGGCCUGGGUUUCCAUAGCAGCAGUAAAUCUCAAAUGAGGCAGGGCAGGAAUGAAGUGAAGUUGGACCUGUUUUGUACUUGGCUGUCCAAUGGACCUGUGAUGCAGGUGCAAUCCAGACCAGCUGUAUGAGCAGCCUCUUCAGUGUGUGCAAAGACUACCUGUGAUGCUGAUUUGAGUCUGGAGUGCCAGCUUGACCUUGCUACUGAAGCAUGGUCCAUAUGGUGUUUCUUCCCAAUCUACAAGAAGGAUUUGUGUGAGGCUAGAUCUAGAGGAGUUUGCUUUCUGAGGCCUGCUGGAAUCAACCUAGUGUGUAGAGACGCUGUUCAACAGUCAAACGUGGAGCCAGAAGGAUGAGGAUGAAAGCUUGAUUGGGAAGAUCCCCACCAUGCUUUAUGCAGACUGGGAAUGUGAAAUACUGUAGAAAAUUGAGUCCAGAUUUAUUUUUUUUCCUUCUCUGGGUUUGACUUCUGUUUAUAAUAAAGUACAUUUUGACUUAA